GUAACAAGGUUUCCGUAGGUGAACCUGCGGAAGGAUCAUUACCGAGUGCGGGUCUUUAUGGCCCAACCUCCCACCCGUGACUAUUGUACCUUGUUGCUUCGGCGGGCCCGCCAGCGUUGCUGGCCGCCGGGGGGCGACUCGCCCCCGGGCCCGUGCCCGCCGGAGACCCCAACAUGAACCCUGUUCUGAAAGCUUGCAGUCUGAGUGUGAUUCUUUGCAAUCAGUUAAAACUUUCAACAAUGGAUCUCUUGGUUCCGGCAUCGAUGAAGAACGCAGCGAAAUGCGAUAACUAAUGUGAAUUGCAGAAUUCAGUGAAUCAUCGAGUCUUUGAACGCACAUUGCGCCCCCUGGUAUUCCGGGGGGCAUGCCUGUCCGAGCGUCAUUGCUGCCCUCAAGCCCGGCUUGUGUGUUGGGCCCUCGUCCCCCGGCUCCCGGGGGACGGGCCCGAAAGGCAGCGGCGGCACCGCGUCCGGUCCUCGAGCGUAUGGGGCUUCGUCUUCCGCUCCGUAGGCCCGGCCGGCGCCCGCCGACGCAUUUAUUUGCAACUUGUUUUUUUCCAGGUUGACCUCGGAUCAGGUAGGGAUACCCGCUGAACCUAAGCAUAUC
This 606-nucleotide unclassified non-coding RNA is filed under the name Aspergillus terreus. Its description in RNAcentral is "sequence contains 18S rRNA gene, ITS1, 5.8S rRNA gene, ITS2, 28S rRNA gene". The stretch from base 229 to 382 matches the Rfam family "5.8S ribosomal RNA". Lineage: Eukaryota; Fungi; Ascomycota; Eurotiomycetes; Eurotiales; Aspergillaceae. The record is from RNAcentral.